AUUGCUUUCCGUUCUUAGAAUACCUUCCGCAAGCCAGGAAGAAUGCAACGGAAACACAAAAGAGGAAUGUUUCAAUGCAGAAAGUUGGAUGUCAGAAGUUAGAUUGGAAACGAGGCUUGUGUCAAGGUAUCUAAAUGUGGAUAUGCACAAAUAAAAAACAACGUCACCUUGAGUAUACCGCGUUACACAUAUCUGCGGAGGAGUCAACUCUAUUGAUGGUAAUAGGGAGAAACAGGGCUGACGGCAGAGCAGUUUAAAGAAUGUUAUUUUUUUGUCUCGGGUACACAACCCAAACCUUUGUGAAAUUACCAAAACUAAAGCUUUAUUGUCACCCUGCUUCUGCUGUUGACCACUAGCAGAUCAUGCCAGGCAGGGAGAGAGAGAGAGAGAGAGAGAGAGAGAGAGAGAGAGAGAGAGAGAGAGAGAGAGGGAGAGAGAGAGAGAGAGAGAGAGAGAGAGAGAGAGAGAGAGAGAGAGAGAGAGAGAGAGAGAGAGAGAGAGAGAUCAUCCUCAUCCUCACAGCUGCAUUAAGGGAUUUAUCAUUCCAUAUAGGAAGCAAUAUGCGCACAUGCUGCGUAAUCAUAUUUAAUCUGGUAAUUAAAACGGCAGUGAUCCUGUGUGUGUGUGGUGUGUGUGCGUUUGUGUAUGUCUUUGCGCGUUGUUAGAGAACAGGGAGUUGAACGUACCGAGGGCGUUUGUCACCACUUUUUUAUUAUUCUCAGUCCAAUAUUGCAGACAUCCACCCACGCCUCUCUCUCUCUCUCUCUCUCUCUCUCUCUCUCUCUCUCUCUCUCUCUCUCUCUCUCUCUCUCUCUCUCUCUCUCCCUCCCUCCCUCCCUCCUUCCCUCCCUCCCUCCCCCUCUCCCCCAUCGACACAAUGGUGAUUCAUCAAGCCUAACUUGCAGAACAUGGAGAAAUGUAAAAACCCCAUCUAGGAUUUCUGCGUGUAUAAUGAUGUCUCUUUUUUUUUUUUUUUUACUAAGGUUCACUUGUAAAACACAUUUGUUUUGUUUUUUUCAGAUAGUUUAA
RNAcentral lists this long non-coding RNA (1029 nucleotides) under Gadus morhua (Atlantic cod). Its description in RNAcentral is "lncRNA (ENSGMOG00000036010.1)". The record is from RNAcentral. Lineage: Eukaryota; Metazoa; Chordata; Actinopteri; Gadiformes; Gadidae.